UUUACUCUUACGGGAGGCAGCAGUGGGGAAUAUUGCACAAUGGGCGCAAGCCUGAUGCAGCGACGCCGCGUGAGGGAUGACGGCCUUCGGGUUGUAAACCUCUUUCAGUAGGGAAGAAGCCUUUCGGGGUGACGGUACUUGCAGAAGAAGCGCCGGCUAACUACGUGCCAGCAGCCGCGGUAAUACGUAGGGCGCAAGCGUUAUCCGGAAUUAUUGGGCGUAAAGAGCUCGUAGGCGGUUUGUCGCGUCUGCUGUGAAAGACCGGGGCUCAACUCCGGUUCUGCAGUGGGUACGGGCAGACUAGAGUGCAGUAGGGGAGACUGGAAUUCCUGGUGUAGCGGUGAAAUGCGCAGAUAUCAGGAGGAACACCGAUGGCGAAGGCAGGUCUCUGGGCUGUAACUGACGCUGAGGAGCGAAAGCAUGGGGAGCGAACAGGAUUAGAUACCCUGGUAGUCCAUGCCGUAAACGUUGGGCACUAGGUGUGGGGGACAUUCCACGUUUUCCGCGCCGUAGCUAACGCAUUAAGUGCCCCGCCUGGGGAGUACGGCCGCAAGGCUAAAACUCAAAGGAAUUGACGGGGGCCCGCACAAGCGGCGGAGCAUGCGGAUUAAUUCGAUGCAACGCGAAGAACCUUACCAAGGCUUGACAUGGACCGGAAAGACCUGAAACCAGGUGCCCCCG
This 681-nucleotide ribosomal RNA is filed under the name Arthrobacter sp. RNAcentral's name for it is "bacterial SSU rRNA". It matches the Rfam family "Bacterial small subunit ribosomal RNA", at positions 332 to 1018 of the family's 1533-position model. The record is from RNAcentral. Lineage: Bacteria; Bacillati; Actinomycetota; Actinomycetes; Micrococcales; Micrococcaceae.